RNAcentral lists this ribosomal RNA (180 nucleotides) under uncultured Glomeromycotina. RNAcentral's name for it is "partial small subunit ribosomal RNA". Lineage: Eukaryota; Fungi; Glomeromycota. The record is from RNAcentral.
GGAUUGACACAUCGGUCGUGCCCUAAGGGGUAUGAACUGGUGUAGUCAAUUUCUCACCUUCUGGAGAACCGCGAUGCCCUUAAUUGGGUGUCACGGGGAACCAGGACCUUUACUUUGAAAAAAUUAGAGUGUUCAAAGCAGGCGUAACCCUUGCCAUUGAAUAGUAGAGCAUGGGAUAAU